Molecule: long non-coding RNA, 1682 nt
Organism: Pogoniulus pusillus (Red-fronted tinkerbird)
Lineage: Eukaryota; Metazoa; Chordata; Aves; Piciformes; Lybiidae
Exons: 4
Source: RefSeq, a predicted model, not a curated record
AGAGAUGUGAUCUGAUCACUUCCCAAGGCACUGAACUCCUCAAGCCAACCAGGGCAGGCUGAUGCUUGUUCCUGUGUUUUGGGUGGUGGCAAAACUGGGUGGAGGAAGAUCAGGCAGAAUAUAUAAUGACAUGCUGAUUCUCUCACUGGCAAAUCCUUCCAUAGGGGAGAAGAAGGAAACUUGAAAUGAUGAAAUCAAAUAGCUGCAAGCAAAACACCCUUACUUCUGCAGAGGCUGUACUGCUUUUCUAAGCUACUACUUUUAAUUAAAGCUUGACAAUCAAAGAGAAUUUUGUGCCAUGAACACAAACUCGGAGGAGAAGAGGACUUGCUUGAGUAAGGCGCAAGUGUUUUUCUAACUUGCAGUGGUUUCCUCCAGAUCCAUGCCUUUGGAAGAAGUGACUCCAGCUACUGCUCUACAGAGUGAAACCAUUCCACCGGAGAGAGGGGACUGGUGAGACCUGCUGACACACACCAGCUUUUCAGCAUACAGAAGCAAAAGAUACUUGGGAGAACAUCAGCCUUGCAACACAAUGUGAAGAGCCUCAUGAAAAGCAGAGAGCCAGCAAAGAGAGGUAAAUAGUCCCAUUAAGCAACAAGCAUGCUGAGUGGCAUGGCCCUGCUGCACAAGCCCUGCCUGUGAGCGCUGGUACAGUAAAAUCAGGCAAUUUGCUGAAAGGCAAAGCAGAAUUCGGUUAAGGAACCUCAGUGACACUCAGAGAAUUGUAACUUUCAUUUUUAAAACUGCCUGAUAGUAGCCCAGCCAGCAAUAAUCAGUAAAUACUUGAAGUCUGCUGCCAUAAUUCAUUGCAAAUCAACCAGAGCUCAAAAAAUAUAUUCAUCCUGGGACUCAUUUCCACGCAAUAGCGCACUAAGACGUAACGAUGUACAGCAUUAAUGCUGGCCUAACUGGAUGGGGGUGUAUUUAGGAACAUCUUUUUCUCUACAAAAUCUAUAUUCACAAACAUCAACAGACUGUGGCUUUUUACCAAGAGAAGCUUGUUCUUUCUGGACAAAGAAAGCUUUCUUCAAAAAAGAAAGAUCAAAACACUCUCAAGAAAGUUAAAUACUUCAUUAAUAGCCAAAAGAAAAGGUAGUAGCAAGUUACAAGAUAUCAGAGUCUUUCUGAUGCUGGAAUGCCAAGAUGUGGAAGUGGCAGACAGACCUGAUAUCAGGGCACAGCACACUGGCCAGGGAGGUUCAGUCUCAUGGUAGCCUUAUAGAGUUUUUACAGGAUGUACCCCUAGUGUCACCACUGGUGCCAAGUAGGUGUCAUCUCAGGGUUCUUCCAUUGUGAUUAGCCACCUGAGGACAUACCAUGGCAAGGGAUACAGACAGCACAGCAUGGUCCUGAAGGCCAAGUGUCCUGGUUUUCUUGGGACAGAAUCCCAGACAAUGGCUGCAGGCCAUUAGCAGCUCUGAGUCAGCCAGGACAGCUGACUGGAAUUCUCUCCAGAUGUAUCCCAGACCACGAGCAUCCCAUUCAGUAUAAAAGGAGCAGUUCGUGAGAAGAGAGGUGCCUUGUUAGAGCCUCCUGUUCGGGUUCCUCCUGAUCCUGCUCCUCUUCCUUCUACUCUUGAGGACUGCCUUUCUGGAUAUUGUAACUUCUGCUCUUUUGCUGGGCUGAACAUAACUCUGUAUACCUUGUGUUGCCAUUGGUAUUGACUUGGCUGUUUCAUUAAA